UGGGGAAUAUUGCACAAUGGGGGAAACCCUGAUGCAGCAACGCCGCGUGAAGGAAGAAGUAUUUCGGUAUGUAAACUUCUAUCAAUAGGGAAGAAACAAAUGACGGUACCUAACUAAGAAGCACCGGCUAAAUACGUGCCAGCAGCCGCGGUAAUACGUAUGGUGCAAGCGUUAUCCGGAUUUACUGGGUGUAAAGGGUGAGUAGGCGGUUAUGCAAGUCAUAUGUGAAAUGUCGGGGCUCAACCCCGGCCUGCAUAAGAAACUGUAUAACUAGAGUGCAGGAGAGGCAAGCGGAAUUCCUAGUGUAGCGGUGAAAUGCGUAGAUAUUAGGAAGAACACCGGUGGCGAAGGCGGCUUGCUGGACUGUAACUGACGCUGAGUCACGAAAGCGUGGGGAGCGAACAGG
RNAcentral lists this ribosomal RNA (406 nucleotides) under uncultured bacterium. Its description in RNAcentral is "bacterial SSU rRNA". It matches the Rfam family "Bacterial small subunit ribosomal RNA", at positions 355 to 776 of the family's 1533-position model. The record is from RNAcentral.